CUUGCCGGAGGUCACCACCCGCCAGCGCGAUGCGCCCGUGGGUGCGAUUUGC
RNAcentral lists this small RNA (52 nucleotides) under Ahrensia sp. R2A130. RNAcentral's name for it is "ffh sRNA". It matches the Rfam family "ffh sRNA". Lineage: Bacteria; Pseudomonadati; Pseudomonadota; Alphaproteobacteria; Hyphomicrobiales; Ahrensiaceae. The record is from Rfam by way of RNAcentral.